UACGUAGGGCGCAAGCGUUGUCCGGAAUUAUUGGGCGUAAAGAGCUCGUAGGCGGCCUGUUGCGUCCGCUGUGAAAUCCCGGGGCUCAACCCCGGGCCUGCAGUGGAUACGGGCUGGCUAGAGGCAGGCAGGGGAGAACGGAAUUCCUGGUGUAGCGGUGAAGUGCGCAGAUAUCAGGAGGAACACCGGUGGCGAAGGCGGUUCUCUGGGCCUGUACUGACGCUGAGGAGCGAAAGCGUGGGGAGCGAACAGG
Molecule: ribosomal RNA, 253 nt
Filed under: uncultured bacterium
Lineage: Bacteria
Description: partial 16S ribosomal RNA
Rfam family: Bacterial small subunit ribosomal RNA
Source: RNAcentral